RNAcentral lists this ribosomal RNA (2927 nucleotides) under Microgenomates bacterium SCGC AAA011-B20. RNAcentral's name for it is "bacterial LSU rRNA". It matches the Rfam family "Bacterial large subunit ribosomal RNA", at positions 14 to 2635 of the family's 2925-position model. Lineage: Bacteria; Candidatus Microgenomatota. The record is from RNAcentral.
AAAGCAGAUAAUGAAUGCCUUGGAUACUAGAGCCGAAGAAGGACGCGACUCAGGCCGCGAUAGUCAUCGGGGAGCUGCCAAGAAGCUUUGAUCCGAUGGUCUCCGAAUGGGGAAACCCACUCCGAUGAAAAUCGGAGGACCCCGCACCGUUAUGGUGCAGGGAGGGAACGCCUCGAACUGAAACAUCUAAGUAGGGGCAGGAAAAUAAAUCCCGCGUUGCGGGAGAUUUCGUAAGUAGCGGCGAGCGAAAGCGAAACAGUCUAAACCCGUCAAAGUUUUGCGUAAGCAAAAUUUAGUCGGGUGUUGCGGGGCAGACGAUAUAGGAUUGAAUUUGGAUAGGAGAAUGGUUUGGAAAGAUCAGCCAAAGAACGUGAUAGCCGUGUAAACAAAAUUCAAAUUCACCUUAGUUUGUACCCAAGUACCAUGAGACACGUAUCUUGUGGGAAUCCGGGGUGGCCACACUCCAAGACUAAAUACUCUAGUGUACCGAUAGUGAACUAGUACCGUGAGGGAAAGGUUAAAAGAAGGGUCAAGAACCCAGUGAAAUAGAACCUGAAAUUAUCUGCUAACAAGCAGUGAGAGUCUUUUAGUCGCAAGAUUAGGGGAUGAUCGCGUGCCUAUUGAAGAAUUAUCCGGCGAGUUUUCGUUUUGUGCGAGUUUAUGUUGACUAAGUCAACGAAGGCGUAGGGAAACCGAGUCUGAAUAGGGCGUUUAGCACAAGAUGGAAGACCCGAAACCUGGUGAGCUAACCAUGAGCAGGGUGAGUCCCGAUGACCAUCGGGAGGAGGCCCGCACUCUUUAGAGUUACAAAUCUAUGAGACGACUUGUGGUUAGAGGUAAUAUGCCAAUCGAACCAGGAGAUAGCUGGCUCUCCCUGAAAUAUAUAUAGGUAUAGCCUUGCAUAUGAGCUAGUGGGAGGUAGAGCACUGGAUGCUUUUGGUGACGCAAGUCAUCACGAGCAAUCAAACUCCAAAUACCCAUUAGUGUUUUGCAGGAGUCAGAACGGCGCGGCUAAGCGCGUCGCUCUAAAGGGAAACAACCCAGAUUGUCGUCUAAGGCCUCUAAGUAAAUGCUAAGUGUUAAACGUAGUUGAAUUCCUUAAACAGUCAGGAGGUUGGCUCAGAAGCAGCCAUCCUUUAAAGAAAGCGUAACAGCUCACUGAUCUAUUCGGGAAUUUGGCGCGAAAAAUGAAUCGAGGCUCAAGCAUUUCGCCGAAGACACAGAUUUAUAUUUACCUCCGGGUAAAUGUAAGUGGUAAGGGAGCGUUGAAGUUGCAGUGAAGGGCCGGCGUAAGCCAGGUCUGGAGCGACUUCAAGUGAGAAUGCCGGAAUGAGUAGCGUAAUCCCGGUGAGAAUCCGGGACGCCGAAUGUCCAAGGUUUCCUGGGCUACAUUGUUUGUCCCAGGGUUAGUCGGCUCCUAAGGCGAGGCGGCAGUACCGCGUAGUCGAUGGACAAACCGUUAAGAUUCGGUUACAUAGUGAAUAUCGUUAAUAAUUGGGGAUGGACAAAGGAAGAGGAUCCAGGCGCAUUCGUGAAGUUGUCGCCUAAGUAGUAAGGUAGUUCCGAUUGGCAAAUCCGUUGGAACGUUUUAAUCCGAGCUAUGAAUGGGAGUUUGCUAAGCAAUUAGCGAGCAAGUUGGAGCCCUUUUGCUUUCAGGAAAAGAUUCGCAAUGAGAGAUUCAUUAUGCCGUACCGCAAACCGACACAGGUGGACUGGUCGAGUAGACCAAGGCGAUCGGGAGAAGGUGGUUCAAGGAACUCGGCAAAAAAGCUGGACGUAAUUUCGAGAGAUGUCCUUCCUCCAUUUAUGGAGGGUGCAACAAAAGAUUAUUCUGCGACUGUUUAACUAAAACACAGGUCUGUGCAAACUCGAAAGAGAAAGUAUACAGGCUGAGGCCUGCCCAGUGCUCGUAAGUUAAGUGAAUUGGUGAGAUUACAUCAAGCCUUGAAAUGAAGCUCGAGUGAACGGCAGCAGUAACUAUAACUGUUCUAUGGUAGCGAAGUUCCUUGUCGGGUAAGUUCCGACCCGCACGAACGGCUUAACGACAGAAUAACUGUCUCGAACCAUCACCCGGCGAAAUUGAAAUGGCUGUGAAGAUGCGGCCUACUUCUACUAGGACAAAAAGACCCUAUGGAGCUUUACUGUAUUCAGGCCCUGUUUUGGAUUUUAAGAUAGUUUAGUGUAGGAGGGAGCCUUCGGGCGCAAGUGAAACACCUCUCGUUUUGGAAUCUCAAAACUAACCUAUCCUAGCUGGAUCGCUAGGGGAGACAAGGUCUGAUGGGCAGUUUUACUGGGGAGGUAUCCUGCUAAAGAGUAACGCAGGAGUGCUAAGGUACUCUAUGCUCGGAUGGAAAUCGAGCGAGUCGCGUAAUGGCAAAAGAGUGCUUGACUGUGAGAGGGACACCUCGAGCAGGGACGAAAGUCGGUCAUAGUGAUCCCCCGCAGCGCAGUGGUUGCGCUCGGGGCUUAACGGAUAAAAGCUACCCUAGGGAUAACAGGCUGAUCGCCUCCAAGCGUCCACAGCGACGAGGCGGUUUGGCACCUCGAUAGACCCAUUCUGGGUCAGUGUCGCACUAAGAAGCAAUUUUUAGUGAAGAAAAUUUAGCUCAUAUCGGUGAAACCCGACUAGAACUUUGAACCCGUUCUAAGGGUAAUACCGAGGGAAGUCGUCAAGCUAGGCUUGAUUGACCCCGUAACGACUUUUCGAUUUCAAAAAUCGGAAGAUUCUUUCCACACGGUGGGAGGGAUAACACGCUAAACGCUCCGAUGAUCGUCGGAGAUGAUGGUAUAGUCUAUGCCCUGCGUAAUCAGGGAAUUACAUGGUCGGCUCACCGCAUCCUGGGGCUGGAGAAGGUCCCAAGGGUCCGUCUGUUCGCCGGUUAAAGCGGUACGUGAGCUGGGUUCAGAGCGUCGCGAGACAGCUCGGU